AAAAGCCUGCCGGGGUUUUUUUUUUUAACUGAGAUUUGGUUUAAUCUAAAGAUGAAUUAGAGAAUUGGCGUCUUAAUACUGGCUGUUCUGAACCAUAGACACAGUAUAUCUCUGCCGUGGUCUGAAUGUUUGCAUACCUGCAAAAUUUAUAUGGUUGAAAUCCUAAUCCCCAGUCCAAUGAUAUUGGCAGGCGAGGCCUUUUGGAGAUGAUUAGGCUAAUGAGGGCAGAGCACUAAUGAAUUAGAUUGGUGCCUUUAUAAAAGAGAUUCCAGAGAGCUUGCUCAUCUCUUCUGCCUUGUGAGGACACAGCAAGAAGUCACCAUCUGUGAACCAAGAAGUGGGACCUCAUCAGACACCAAAUCUGCCAACACUUCAAUCUUGGACUUCCCAUUCUCCAGAACUUUGCCUUGAUUAGAAAGUUUGGCUUUGCUGAGAUACGUAGUUGG
This 446-nucleotide long non-coding RNA is filed under the name Pan troglodytes (chimpanzee). RNAcentral's name for it is "long non-coding RNA NONPTRT007954". The record is from RNAcentral. Lineage: Eukaryota; Metazoa; Chordata; Mammalia; Primates; Hominidae.